ACUCUCCACUUACCUCUUUGGAGAUGUGUCAGCUCCAGCCCCACACAGCUUAACCUCAGCCUCCCUGCGUGUUUCAGUGCUUCAGGCUCUGCUCCAAGAACCUGGGAGGAGCCUCCUCAACUCUGUCUAUGAUGUUGGGUCAGCGUGUUCGCCAAUUUGGUGAGAAACUGGUCCGAAGGCGGCCACUGGAGCCGAGGAACGAGUCUGAGAUUCCCACACCUCAUCUCAACAGCUUCGACCUAGUGGUCUUUGGUGUGAACAGAACCCUGAGGGCUGGUGUGUACAUCCUAGCUGGUGCCGUGGCUGUCUAUGUAACAAUGGGACAACUGCAUGCCUUCAUCACUGGCUGGAACAUCAUACUGCAUUUUGUUCUUGCCACCGCCUACUUGACCAGGGCCUGGAGCUACACCUUUGACAGCCUGAUUGGGAACCACAUCUCGCAGGUGUUAGAGGGAACGUUCUCUGAGCAUAUGCCCUCGUUCCUGGCCCCAUACCCAGACUUUGUUGCGCUGGCCCUGGUGCUGCUGAUGGCUGGGCUACUGAUUCUGGGCGUUCAUGUGACAGCUCGUGUUACCAAAGUGUCCACAGGUAUCAAUGCUUUGGUUCUCAGCUUCAUCAUCAUCUCUGGCUUCAUUAAGGGAGACCUGCACAACUGGCAGCUCACAGAACAGGACUACAAACUGGCCGCAUCUGGAUCCUCUGACAGCUAUAGCCUGGGCCCUCUGGGUUCUGGAGGGUUUGUGCCCUUUGGCUUUGAAGGGAUUCUCCAAGGAGCAGCAAUGCCUUUCUACUCAUUCUUUGGUCUCAAUGCUAUUGUCACUACAGGGAAAGAAACCCCCAACCCUCAGCGUUCCAUCCCUUGGAGCAUAGGGAUCUUCAUCUCCAUCUGCUUUUUGGCCUAUUCUGGUGUCUCAGCAGCUCUCACCCUCAUGGUGCCCUACUACCAGAUUCAUCCUUACAACCCCUUGCCGCAGGCUUUCCACCAUGUUGGGUGGGCUCCUGCCGGAUACUUCGUGGCUGUUGUCAUCCUGUGUGCUCUUUUUUACAGCCUCCUGGUUGUCAUGUUGACCAUGUCUCGGUUGAUUUGUGCAAUGGCAGAGGAUGGGCUCCUUUUCCGGGGACUUGGCAAAAUCUACGCCCGAAGAGGCACCCCCAUCGUGGCCAUCCUGGUUUCUGCAAUUCUUUCAGGGAUCAUGGCAGUACUUUUCGAGAUCCAUCAUCUUGUGGAACUCCUGUCAGUUGGGGUCUUGCUUGCUUACUUCCUAGUGGCUUUUUCUGUCCUGGUCCUCAGGUACCAGCCAGACCAGAGCUUCAGCAAGAAGGAGAAAGUAGAGGAGGAAACUGAGAUGGAGCCUAUAGUUGAAGGAAAUCCUUCACCAUCUGUACCUGAAGCAGGAACCUCAAACCCUCUAAAGAGUCUGUGUAACCCUAUCAGCACCACCCCGACUCUGAAAUCUGGCCAGAUUGUCUAUGGAUGUGCCUUCCUGCUGGUUCUCCUGCUGACCAUCCUGAGCCUGCUUCUGGCCCUGUGGCCCAGCCGCGUGUUUUCUGGAGACCCCGGGUUCACAGCAGGGGCUGUGCUGCUGCUGCUGCUCAUUAUGUGGAUCACUGUCAUCAUUUGGAGGCAGCCCCAGAACCCCUCUCCUCUUCACUUUAGGGUACUUUCUUUGCCUGUCUUCCCACUGAUCAGCAUCUUUGUGAACAUUUACUUGAUAAUACAGAUGACUACUGGGACUUGGGCCCAAUUUGGCAUCUGGAAUGCUGUUGGAUUUGCCAUAUACUUUGGAUAUGGGAUCCGACACAGCUUGGAGGAGAAGAGUGAUCAAAACCCACCAGCUUCCAACUUCCAUACUUUUGAUGAACACACCUCUAGUGCUAAAUCCUGUUAACUCCAGCAAAUAGAUGCUGUGUGGUCCUCUCCAAAAGGGGAAAUGUAUUCUGGUUCAAGGGACUUUUUGAGCCUCUAUGGAGUGUGACAUUGGGAUGCAUGUAGAGCCUUCUAUUUAUUGCCACUGGACAGGAUGACUUUUAUGUAUAAUUUAAAGUAAACUUUU
Molecule: long non-coding RNA, 2054 nt
Filed under: Sus scrofa (pig)
Lineage: Eukaryota; Metazoa; Chordata; Mammalia; Artiodactyla; Suidae
Description: lncRNA (ENSSSCG00055013501.1)
Source: RNAcentral